Molecule: ribosomal RNA, 273 nt
Filed under: uncultured bacterium
Lineage: Bacteria
Description: partial 16S ribosomal RNA
Rfam family: Bacterial small subunit ribosomal RNA
Source: RNAcentral
AGCUUGCUCUGGCUGGAUUAGCGGCGAACGGGUGAGUAACACCGUGAGCGAAUCUGCCCCUGACUCUGGGAUAACUUCGAGAAAUCGAUGCUAAUACCGGAUACGACCCUUUCCAGGCAAUCUGGUGAGGGUGGAAAGAACUUUUGGUCAGGGGAUGAGCUCGCGGCCCUAUCCAGCUAGUUGGUGAGGGUAAUGGCUUACCAAGGCGACGACGGGUAGCCGGCCCUGAGAGGGUGACCGGCCACACUGGGACUGAGACACGGCCCAGACUCC